This 464-nucleotide ribosomal RNA is filed under the name uncultured bacterium. RNAcentral's name for it is "partial 16S ribosomal RNA". It matches the Rfam family "Bacterial small subunit ribosomal RNA", at positions 28 to 506 of the family's 1533-position model. The record is from RNAcentral.
GACGAACGCUGGCGGCGUGCUUAACACAUGCAAGUCGAACGGAAAGGCCCUGCUUGCAGGGUACUCGAGUGGCGAACGGGUGAGUAACACGUGGGUGAUCUGCCCUGCACUUCGGGAUAAGCCUGGGAAACUGGGUCUAAUACCGGAUAGGAGCCAUUUUUAGUGUGAUGGUUGGAAAGUUUUUUCGGUGUAGGAUGAGCUCGCGGCCUAUCAGCUUGUUGGUGGGGUAAUGGCCUACCAAGGCGGCGACGGGUAGCCGGCCUGAGAGGGUGGACGGCCAAUUUGGGACUGAGGUACGGCCCAGCCUCCUACGGGAGGCAGCAGUGGGGAAUUUUGCACAAUGGGCGAAACCCUGUUGCAGCGCCGCCGCGGGGGGGGUGACGCCCUUCGGUUUUUAAUCUCCUUUCGCUAGGGACGAAGCUUUUUGGGAAUGUCCCUAGAGAAGGAGCCCGGGCGAACUAAGG